Molecule: ribosomal RNA, 444 nt
Filed under: uncultured bacterium
Lineage: Bacteria
Description: bacterial SSU rRNA
Rfam family: Bacterial small subunit ribosomal RNA
Source: RNAcentral
CCAGACUCCUACGGGAGGCAGCAGUGGGGAAUAUUGCACAAUGGGGGAAACCCUGAUGCAGCGACGCCGCGUGAGCGAUGAAGUAUUUCGGUAUGUAAAGCUCUAUCAGCAGGGAAGAAGAUGACGGUACCUGACUAAGAAGCCCCGGCUAACUACGUGCCAGCAGCCGCGGUAAUACGUAGGGGGCAAGCGUUAUCCGGAUUUACUGGGUGUAAAGGGGGCGCAGACGGCAGCGCAAGCCAGGAGUGAAAGCCCGGGGCCCAACCCCGGGACUGCUCUUGGAACUGCGCGGCUGGAGUGCAGGAGGGGCAGGCGGAAUUCCUGGUGUAGCGGUGAAAUGCGUAGAUAUCAGGAGGAACACCGGCGGCGAAGGCGGCCUGCUGGACCGUGACUGACGUUGAGGCUCGAGAGCGUGGGGAGCAAACAGGAUUAGAUACCCGCGUA